This 1343-nucleotide ribosomal RNA is filed under the name uncultured bacterium. Its description in RNAcentral is "16S ribosomal RNA". It matches the Rfam family "Bacterial small subunit ribosomal RNA", at positions 28 to 1378 of the family's 1533-position model. The record is from RNAcentral.
GACGAACGCUGGCGGCGUGCUUAACACAUGCAAGUCGAACGGAAAGGCCCUGCUUUUGUGGGGUGCUCGAGUGGCGAACGGGUGAGUAACACGUGAGUAACCUGCCCUUGACUUUGGGAUAACUUCAGGAAACUGGGGCUAAUACCGGAUAGGAGCUCCUGCUGCAUGGUGGGGGUUGGAAAGUUUCGGCGGCUGGGGAUGGACUCGCGGCUUAUCAGCUUGUUGGUGGGGUAGUGGCUUACCAAGGCUUUGACGGGUAGCCGGCCUGAGAGGGUGACCGGCCACAUUGGGACUGAGAUACGGCCCAGACUCCUACGGGAGGCAGCAGUGGGGAAUAUUGCACAAUGGGCGGAAGCCUGAUGCAGCAACGCCGCGUGCGGGAUGACGGCCUUCGGGUUGUAAACCGCUUUCGCCUGUGACGAAGCGUGAGUGACGGUAAUGGGUAAAGAAGCACCGGCUAACUACGUGCCAGCAGCCGCGGUGAUACGUAGGGUGCGAGCGUUGUCCGGAUUUAUUGGGCGUAAAGGGCUCGUAGGUGGUUGAUCGCGUCGGAAGUGUAAUCUUGGGGCUUAACCCUGAGCGUGCUUUCGAUACGGGUUGACUUGAGGAAGGUAGGGGAGAAUGGAAUUCCUGGUGGAGCGGUGGAAUGCGCAGAUAUCAGGAGGAACACCAGUGGCGAAGGCGGUUCUCUGGGCCUUUCCUGACGCUGAGGAGCGAAAGCGUGGGGAGCGAACAGGCUUAGAUACCCUGGUAGUCCACGCUGUAAACGGUGGGUACUAGGUGUGGGGUCCAUUCCACGGGUUCCGUGCCGUAGCUAACGCUUUAAGUACCCCGCCUGGGGAGUACGGCCGCAAGGCUAAAACUCAAAGGAAUUGACGGGGCCCCGCACAAGCGGCGGAGCAUGCGGAUUAAUUCGAUGCAACGCGUAGAACCUUACCUGGGUUUGACAUGGAUCGGGAGUGCUCAGAGAUGGGUGUGCCUCUUUUGGGGUCGGUUCACAGGUGGUGCAUGGCUGUCGUCAGCUCGUGUCGUGAGAUGUUGGGUUAAGUCCCGCAACGAGCGCAACCCUUGUUCACUGUUGCCAGCACGUUAUGGUGGGGACUCAGUGGAGACCGCCGGGGUCAACUCGGAGGAAGGUGGGGAUGACGUCAAGUCAUCAUGCCCCUUAUGUCCAGGGCUUCACGCAUGCUACAAUGGCUGGUACAGAGAGUGGCGAGCCUGUGAGGGUGAGCGAAUCUCGGAAAGCCGGUCUCAGUUCGGAUUGGGGUCUGCAAUUCGACCUCAUGAAGUCGGAGUCGCUAGUAACCGCAGAUCAGCAACGCUGCGGUGAAUACGUUCCCGGG